UGCCAGCAGCCGCGGUAAUACGAAGGGACCUAGCGUAGUUCGGAAUUACUGGGCUUAAAGAGUUCGUAGGUGGUUAAAAAAGUUGGUGGUGAAAUCCCAGAGCUUAACUCUGGAACUGCCAUCAAAACUUUUUAGCUAGAGUAUGAUAGAGGAAAGCAGAAUUUCUAGUGUAGAGGUGAAAUUCGUAGAUAUUAGAAAGAACACCAAUUGCGAAGGCAGUUCACUGGACCGUGAUCGACGCUGAGGAGCGAAAGCUAGGGGAGCAAACAGGAUUAGAUA
This 279-nucleotide ribosomal RNA is filed under the name uncultured bacterium. Its description in RNAcentral is "partial 16S ribosomal RNA". It matches the Rfam family "Bacterial small subunit ribosomal RNA", at positions 506 to 784 of the family's 1533-position model. The record is from RNAcentral.